Molecule: ribosomal RNA, 531 nt
Filed under: uncultured bacterium
Lineage: Bacteria
Description: bacterial SSU rRNA
Rfam family: Bacterial small subunit ribosomal RNA
Source: RNAcentral
UGGGGAAUAUUGGACAAUGGACCAAAAGUCUGAUCCAGCAAUUCUGUGUGCACGAUGACGUUUUUCGGAAUGUAAAGUGCUUUCAGUUGGGAAGAAAAAAAUGACGGUACCAACAGAAGAAGUGACGGCUAAAUACGUGCCAGCAGCCGCGGUAAUACGUAUGUCACAAGCGUUAUCCGGAUUUAUUGGGCGUAAAGCGCGUCUAGGUGGUUAUGUAAGUCUGAUGUGUGAAUAAAAAAUGCAGGGCUCAACUCUGUAUUGCGUUGGAAACUGCAUGACUAGAGUACUGGAGAGGUAAGCGGAACUACAAGUGUAGAGGUGAAAUUCGUAGAUAUUUGUAGGAAUGCCGAUGGGGAAGCCAGCUUACUGGACAGAUACUGACGCUAAAGCGCGAAAGCGUGGGUAGCAAACAGGAUUAGAUACCCUGGUAGUCCACGCCGUAAACGAUGAUUACUAGGUGUUGGGGGUCGAACCUCAGCGCCCAAGCUAACGCGAUAAGUAAUCCGCCUGGGGAGUACGUACGCAAGUAUG